Molecule: ribosomal RNA, 256 nt
Filed under: uncultured bacterium
Lineage: Bacteria
Description: partial 16S ribosomal RNA
Rfam family: Bacterial small subunit ribosomal RNA
Source: RNAcentral
UACGGAGGGUGCGAAGCGUUAUCCGGCGAUUUACUGGGUUUAAAGGGUGCGUAGGUGGGUAGGUAAGUCAGUGGUGAAAUCUUCGAGCUUAACUCGGAAACUGCCAUUGAUACUAUUUAUCUUGAAUACUUUGGAGGUAAGCGGAAUAUGUCAUGUAGCGGUGAAAUGCUUAGAUAUGACAUAGAACACCAAUUGCGAAGGCAGCUUACUACACAGUUAUUGACACUGAGGCACGAAAGCGUGGGGAUCAAACAGG